AACGAACGCUGGCGGCAGGCUUAACACAUGCAAGUCGAACGGACGUAGCAAUACGUUAGUGGCAGACGGGUGAGUAACGCGUGGGAAUAUGCCCUUUAGUUCGGAAUAACACAGAGAAAUUUGUGCUAAUACCGGAUAAUCCCGAGAGGGGAAAGAUUUAUCGCUGAAGGAGUAGCCCGCGUCUGAUUAGCUAGUUGGUGAGGUAAUGGCUGACCAAGGCGACGAUCAGUAGGUGGUCUGAGAGGAUGAUCAGCCACACUGGGACUGAGACACGGCCCAGACUCCUACGGGAGGCAGCAGUGGGGAAUAUUGGACAAUGGGGGCAACCCUGAUCCAGCCAUGCCGCGUGAGUGAUGAAGGCCUUAGGGUUGUAAAACUCUUUUGUCCGGGAAGAUAAUGACUGUACCGGAAGAAUAAGCCCCGGCUAACUUCGUGCCAGCAGCCGCAGUAA
This 451-nucleotide ribosomal RNA is filed under the name uncultured bacterium. RNAcentral's name for it is "partial 16S ribosomal RNA". It matches the Rfam family "Bacterial small subunit ribosomal RNA", at positions 29 to 523 of the family's 1533-position model. The record is from RNAcentral.